RNAcentral lists this ribosomal RNA (492 nucleotides) under uncultured Sphingobacteriales bacterium. RNAcentral describes it as "bacterial SSU rRNA". It matches the Rfam family "Bacterial small subunit ribosomal RNA", at positions 904 to 1382 of the family's 1533-position model. Lineage: Bacteria; Pseudomonadati; Bacteroidota; Sphingobacteriia; Sphingobacteriales. The record is from RNAcentral.
GCCCGCUCAGAAACUCAAUGAAUUGACGGGGGCCCGCACAAGCGGUGGAGCAUGUGGUUUAAUUCGAUGAUACGCGAGGAACCUUACCUGGGCUCAAAUGUAUGUUGACGUAUUCUGAAAGGGAUACUUCUUCGGACAAUAUACAAGGUGCUGCAUGGUUGUCGUCAGCUCGUGCCGUGAGGUGUCGGGUUAAGUCCCAUAACGAGCGCAACCCCUAUCAUUAGUUGCCAUCAGGUCAAGCUGGGGACUCUAAUGAAACUGCCUACGCAAGUAGUGAGGAAGGUGGGGAUGACGUCAAAUCAGCACGGCCCUUACGUCCAGGGCUACACACGUGCUACAAUGGCCGGUACAAAGGGCAGCUACCUGGUGACAGGAUGCUAAUCUCAAAAGCCGGUCUCAGUUCGGAUCGGAGUCUGCAACCCGACUCCGUGAAGUUGGAUUCGCUAGUAAUCGCGCAUCAGCCAUGGCGCGGUGAAUACGUUCCCGGGCCUU